Pangasianodon gigas (Mekong giant catfish) is the source of this 72-nucleotide non-coding RNA. The record is from the annotation of a GenBank genome assembly. NCBI's taxonomy places the organism in Eukaryota, Metazoa, Chordata, Actinopteri, Siluriformes, Pangasiidae.
UCCCUGGAGGACUAGUGCUUAGGCCUCAGCGCUCUCACCAAUGCGGCCUGGGUUCGAUUCCUGGCCAGGGAA